RNAcentral lists this long non-coding RNA (1036 nucleotides) under Bos indicus x Bos taurus (hybrid cattle). Its description in RNAcentral is "lncRNA (ENSBIXG00000010951.1)". The record is from RNAcentral. Lineage: Eukaryota; Metazoa; Chordata; Mammalia; Artiodactyla; Bovidae.
AUGCAAUAUUGCUCUCUACAGCAUCGGACCUUGCUUCUAUCACCAGUCACAUCCACAACUGGGUAUUGUUUUGCUUUGGCUCCAUCCCUUCAUUCUGUCUGGAGUUGUUUCUCCACUGAUCUCCAGUAGCAUAUUGGGCACUUACCGACCUGGGGAGUUCCUCUUUCAGCAUCCUGUCAUUUUGUCUUUUCAUACUGUUCAUGGGGUUCUCAAAGCAAGAAUACUGAAGUGGUUUGCCAUUCCCUUUUCCACUGGGCCACAUUCUGUCAGGAAGGAAGAAAGCCUUCCUCAAAGAUUAAUACAAAGAAAUAGAGGAAAACAACAAAAUGGGAAAGACUAGAGAUCUCUUCAAGAAAAUUAGAGAUACCAAGGGAACAUUUCAUGCAAAGAUGGGCUUGAUAAACGACAGAAAUGGUAUGGACCUAACAGAAGCAGAAGAUAUUAAGAAGAGGUGGCAAGAAUACACAGAAGAACUGGACAAAAAAGAUCUUCACGACCCGGAUAAUCACGAUGAUGUGAUCACUCACCUAGAGCCUAACAUCCUGGAAUGUGAAGUCAAGUGGGCCUUAGAAAGCAUCACUAUGAACAAAGCUAGUGGAGGUGAUGGGAUUCCAGUUGAGCUAUUUCAAAUCCUGAAAGAUGAUGCUGUGAAAGUGCUGCACUCAAUAUGCCAGCAAAUUUGGAAAACUCAGCAGUGGCCACAGGACUGGAAAAGGUCAGUUUUCAUUCAAAUCCCAAAGAAAGGCAAUGCCAAAGAAUGCUCAAACUGCCACACAAUAGCACAUAUCUCACAUGCUAGUAAAGUAAUGCAUAAAAUUCUCCAAGCCAGGCUUCAGCAGUAUGUGAACCCUGAACUUCCAGAUGUUCAAGCUGGUUUUAGAAAAGGCAGAAGAACCAGAGAUCAAAUUGCCAACAUCUGCUGGAUCAUAGAAAAAGCAAAAAAGUUCCAAAAAACCAUCUAUUUCUGCUUUAUUGACUAUGCCAAGCCUUUGACUGUGUGGAUCCCAAUAAACAGCGGAAAAUUCUGAAAGAGAUG